This 547-nucleotide ribosomal RNA is filed under the name uncultured bacterium. Its description in RNAcentral is "bacterial SSU rRNA". It matches the Rfam family "Bacterial small subunit ribosomal RNA", at positions 66 to 660 of the family's 1533-position model. The record is from RNAcentral.
ACGGAACUUCGGGUUUAGUGGCGGACUUGUGAGUAACGCGUGAGAAUCUGCCUCUAGGUCGGGGACAACAACUGGAAACGGUUGCUAAUACCCGAUGUGCAGCAAUGUGAAAGAUUAUUGCCUAGAGAUGAGCUCGCGUCUGAUUAGCUAGUAGGUGUGGUAAUGGCGCACCUAGGCGACGAUCAGUAACUGGUCUGAGAGGAUGACCAGUCACACUGGGACUGAGACACGGCCCAGACUCCUACGGGAGGCAGCAGUGGGGAAUUUUCCGCAAUGGGCGAAAGCCUGACGGAGCAAUACCGCGUGAGGGACGAAGGCUUUUGGGUCGUAAACCUCUUUUCCCUGAGAAGAAGAUCUGACGGUAUCAGGGGAAUCAGCAUCGGCUAACUUCGUGCCAGCAGCCGCGGUAAUACGAGGGAUGCAAGCGUUAUCCGGAAUUAUUGGGCGUAAAGCGUCCGCAGGUGGCUCUGUCAGUCUGUCGUUAAAGAAUGGGGCUCAANCCCAUACAGGCGAUGGAAACUACAAGGCUAGAGUUUGGUAGGGGUCA